This 28-nucleotide small RNA is filed under the name Bombyx mori (domestic silkworm). RNAcentral's name for it is "ovarian small RNA-4272". The record is from RNAcentral. Lineage: Eukaryota; Metazoa; Arthropoda; Insecta; Lepidoptera; Bombycidae.
AAGAUGCAGUGCGUCAUAGCGGCAUUUA